UACGUAGGGUGCGAGCGUUAAUCGGAAUUACUGGGCGUAAAGCGUGCGCAGGCGGUUGUGCAAGACAGAUGUGAAAUCCCCCGGGCUCAACCUGGGAACUGCAUUUGUGACUGCACGGCUAGAGUGUGUCAGAGGGGGGUAGAAUUCCACGUGUAGCAGUGAAAUGCGUAGAUAUGUGGAGGAAUACCGAUGGCGAAGGCAGCCCCCUGGGAUAACACUGACGCUCAUGCCACGAAAGCGUGGGGAGCAAACAGG
RNAcentral lists this ribosomal RNA (255 nucleotides) under uncultured bacterium. RNAcentral's name for it is "partial 16S ribosomal RNA". It matches the Rfam family "Bacterial small subunit ribosomal RNA", at positions 524 to 776 of the family's 1533-position model. The record is from RNAcentral.